Long non-coding RNA from Salvia miltiorrhiza (redroot sage), 533 nucleotides. RefSeq lists it as uncharacterized. Lineage: Eukaryota; Viridiplantae; Streptophyta; Magnoliopsida; Lamiales; Lamiaceae. The record is from RefSeq and is a predicted model, not a curated record. The transcript is spliced from 2 exons.
GAUUUCACAUGCUUCAUCAAAUUAUAAGUUGUUAAGGGAGAAAACUUCACCCUGCAACUUGACCGUCAACGGUCCACGCCCUCCAUUCAUCGUCGAGGCUCACAUUCAGUUUGCGUAUCCAUUUUAAUGUAGCCAUGUAAGAGAUUCUCUUACACUUUCGUCAUUUGCCCACACAUAGGAUGUCAAAUAGUUCCGAGUCUGCAAAAGAUGACAGCAUUGCAUUAAGGUCUAGGUCGAUGAUGACAUGGAAGAAAUGUAUAGGCAGAGGGGAGGAUUACGCGGCAUUUUAGUUCAUCUCGGUUGGAGAGGGAGAGGGAGAGGGAGAGGGAGAGGAAGUCGACUGGAUCAUCUACCAGCCAUGGUUGGAACCUUCUAGAAUCACUUGGUCUUGGUGACAUGAAAUUGCAUGUUGGCUCCAGAAUGUGAGCAUAGUUGAUCAACUUGGUGCACUGCACUUAAAUAAAAGGCAGCUGUCAUCCUUGUCUAAAACAUUACACUAAAUAAUAUUUGCAAGGAUAUUGUCUAAAGACUAA